Molecule: ribosomal RNA, 253 nt
Filed under: uncultured bacterium
Lineage: Bacteria
Description: partial 16S ribosomal RNA
Rfam family: Bacterial small subunit ribosomal RNA
Source: RNAcentral
UCCGUAGGGUGCGAGCGUUGUCCGGAAUUAUUGGGCGUAAAGAGCUCGUAGGCGGUUUGUUGCGUCUAUCGUGAAAACCUGCAGCUUAACUGUGGGCUUGCGGUGGAUACGGGCAGACUUGAGUUCGGUAGGGGAGACUGGAAUUCCUGGUGUAGCGGUGAAAUGCGCAGAUAUCAGGAGGAACACCGGUGGCGAAGGCGGGUCUCUGGGCCGAUACUGACGCUGAGGAGCGAAAGCGUGGGGAGCGAACAGG